RNAcentral lists this ribosomal RNA (1510 nucleotides) under uncultured soil bacterium. Its description in RNAcentral is "bacterial SSU rRNA". It matches the Rfam family "Bacterial small subunit ribosomal RNA". The record is from RNAcentral.
GACAAACGCUGGCGGCGUGCCUAACACAUGCAAGUCGAACGAGUGCCCUUCGGGGUGCUAGUGGCGGACGGGUGAGUAACACGUAGUUGACCUGCCCAAUAGUGGGGAAUAACUCCUCGAAAGAGGAGCUAAUACCGCAUAAGCUCUAGCACGUUGGUGAUAGAGGAAACCUUCUUCGUAAGAGGAGGGGCUAUAGGAGGGGACUGCGGCGGAUUAGCUAGUUGGUGGGGUAAAAGCCUACCAAGGCGACGAUCCGUAGCUGGUCUGAGAGGACGACCAGCCACACUGGGACUGAGACACGGCCCAGACUCCUACGGGAGGCAGCAGUGAGGAAUAUUCCACAAUGGGCGAAAGCCUGAUGGAGCGACGCCGCGUGAGGGAAGACGCCCUUUGGGGUGUAAACCUCUUUUCAGGGGGAUGAAACGGCACCUUCGGGUGCCUAAGACAGUACCCCUGGAAUAAGCAUCGGCUAACUACGUGCCAGCAGCCGCGGUAAUACGUAGGAUGCAAGCGUUGUCCGGAUUUACUGGGCGUAAAGCGCGCGCAGGCGGCACACCAAGUACCCUCUGAAAUCUCCCUGCUCAACGGGGAGGGUGGAAGGUAGACUGGUGAGCUAGAGGUCGGUAGAGGGUGGUGGAAUUGCUGGUGUAGCGGUGAAAUGCGUAGAUAUCAGCAGGAACACCCGUGGCGAAGGCGGCCACCUGGGCCGAUAAAACCCCUCUUAGUACUUUGUACUCAUUCUACUUCAUGUAGAAUGAAAGAGAGGGUACCUGACGCUGAGGCGCGAAGGCUAGGGGAGCGAACGGGAUUAGAUACCCCGGUAGUCCUAGCAGUAAACGAUGACCACUAGGUGUGGGGGGUGUUGACCCCUCCUGUGCCGAAGCUAACGCAUUAAGUGGUCCGCCUGGGGAGUACGGUCGCAAGACUAAAACUCAAAGGAAUUGACGGGGACCCGCACAAGCAGCGGAGCGUGUGGUUUAAUUCGAUGCGACGCGAAGAACCUUACCAGGGCUUGACAUGUACUCGCAACACCUUGAAAGAGGUGCCUCCUUCGGGACGGGUACACAGAUGCUGCAUGGCUGUCGUCAGCUCGUGUCGUGAGAUGUUGGGUUAAGUCCCGCAACGAGCGCAACCCCCGUGCCUAGUUGCAAAUCUAGGGAGACUGCCGGAGAUAAACCGGAGGAAGGUGGGGAUGACGUCAAGUCAGCAUGGCUCUUACGUCCUGGGCUACACACACGCUACAAUGGCAGUUACAGCGAGAAGCCAGCCCGCGAGGGUGAGCGGACCUCUAAAAGGCUGCCCAAGUUCAGAUUGCACUCUGCAACCCGAGUGCAUGAAGUCGGAGUUGCUAGUAACCGCGUGUCAGCAUAGCGCGGUGAAUAUGUUCCCGGGUCUUGUACACACCGCCCGUCACGUCAUGGGAGUUGGCAACACCUGAAGUCCGUAAGCUAACUCUUAUCCUUCGGGGUAAGAGAGGCAGCGGCCGAGGGUGGGGCUGAUGACUGGGACG